This 254-nucleotide unclassified non-coding RNA is filed under the name uncultured Gemmatimonadota bacterium. Its description in RNAcentral is "uncultured Gemmatimonadetes bacterium contains 16S-23S intergenic spacer region". It matches the Rfam family "Bacterial small subunit ribosomal RNA", at positions 524 to 776 of the family's 1533-position model. The record is from RNAcentral. Lineage: Bacteria; Pseudomonadati; Gemmatimonadota.
UACGGAGGGCGCGAGCGUUGUUCGGAAUUAUUGGGCGUAAAGCACACGUAGGCGGCUCGGUAAGUCUGCCUGUGAAAGCCCGGGGCUCAACCCCGGGAGGCCAGGGGAUACUGUCGGGCUAGAGACAAGCUGAGGUGGGUAGAAUUCCGGGUGUAGCGGUGGAAUGCGUAGAGAUCCGGAGGAAUACCAGAGGCGAAGGCGGCCCACUGGGCUUGAUCUGACGCUGAGGUGCGAAAGCGUGGGGAGCGAACAGG